RNAcentral lists this ribosomal RNA (159 nucleotides) under Capsicum annuum. RNAcentral describes it as "5.8S ribosomal RNA". It matches the Rfam family "5.8S ribosomal RNA". Rfam says of the family: 5.8S ribosomal RNA (5.8S rRNA) is a component of the large subunit of the eukaryotic ribosome. It is transcribed by RNA polymerase I as part of the 45S precursor that also contains 18S and 28S rRNA. Functionally, it is thought that 5.8S rRNA may be involved in ribosome translocation. Lineage: Eukaryota; Viridiplantae; Streptophyta; Magnoliopsida; Solanales; Solanaceae. The record is from RNAcentral.
AAACGACUCUCGGCAACGGAUAUCUUGGCUCUCGCAUCGAUGAAGAACGUAGCGAAAUGCGAUACUUGGUGUGAAUUGCAGAAUCCCGUGAACCAUCGAGUCUUUGAACGCAAGUUGCGCCCGAAGCCCUUAGGCCGAGGGCACGUUUGCCUGGGCGUC